Molecule: ribosomal RNA, 429 nt
Filed under: Bacteroidota bacterium
Lineage: Bacteria; Pseudomonadati; Bacteroidota
Description: Bacteroidetes bacterium partial 16S ribosomal RNA
Rfam family: Bacterial small subunit ribosomal RNA
Source: RNAcentral
UAGGGAAUCUUCGGCAAUGGGGGGAACCCUGACCGAGCAACGCCGCGUGAGUGAAGAAGGUUUUCGGAUCGUAAAGCCCUGUUGUUAAGGAAGAACGAGUGUGAGAAUGGAAAGUUCAUGCUGUGACGGUAUUUAACCAGAAAGGGACGGCUAACUACGUGCCAGCAGCCGCGGUAAUACGUAGGUCCCGAGCGUUGUCCGGAUUUAUUGGGCGUAAAGCGAGCGCAGGCGGUUAGAAAAGUCUGAAGUGAAAGGCAGUGGCUCAACCAUUGUAGGCUUUGGAAACUGUUUAACUUGAGUGCAGAAGGGGAGAGUGGAAUUCCAUGUGUAGCGGUGAAAUGCGUAGAUAUAUGGAGGAACACCGGUGGCGAAAGCGGCUCUCUGGUCUGUAACUGACGCUGAGGCUCGAAAGCGUGGGGAGCGAACAGG